UACAGAGGGUGCGAGCGUUUGUCCGGAAUCACUGGGCGUAAAGGGCGCGUAGGUGGUGGCUUAAGCGUGCGGUGAAAGCUCGGGGCUCAACCCCGAGUCGGCCGUGCGAACUGGGCUCACUGGAGCAUAGUAGAGGCAGGUGGAAUUCCGGGUGUAGCGGUGGAAUGCGUAGAGAUCCGGAGGAACACCGACGGCGUAGGCAGCGCCCUGGCUGUGAAUAAAGCUGACACUGAGGCACGAAAGCUGGGGAGCAAACAGG
RNAcentral lists this ribosomal RNA (259 nucleotides) under uncultured bacterium. RNAcentral describes it as "partial 16S ribosomal RNA". It matches the Rfam family "Bacterial small subunit ribosomal RNA", at positions 524 to 776 of the family's 1533-position model. The record is from RNAcentral.